GUGUUGCCUGCAAGGGCGUAUGGUGGAUGCCUUGGCAGACAGGACCGAUGAAGGACGUUUGAGGCUGCGAUAUGCCUCGGGGAGCCGCCAACAGGGCUUUGAUCCGAGGAUUUCCGAAUGGGGGAACCCACCGGCCGUCAUGGGCCGGUACCGCCGUGUGCGGGGGGUACGCAGGGAAGUGAAACAUCUCAGUACCUGCAGGAAAGGAUAUUCCGUGAGUAGUGGCGAGCGAAAGCGGAUCAGGCCAAACCUUGCGCGUGUGAUACCCGUCGGGGGUUGCGCGCGGGGUGUAGAGGGAUCGCGUUUGCCGGCUCCGACGGGCCGGCCGUCAGUUGCAUAAAACCAUGUGCCAGGGGAACCGGGUUGAAUACCGGGCCGCAGAGGGUGAGGGCCCCGUACCCGAACGCGCAUGGUCUGGCGAUCGCGUCUCCCAAGUAGCACGGGCCCCGUGGAAUCCCGUGCGAAUCUGUCCCGACCGUGGGAUAAGCCUAAAUAUUCCUGUCUGACCGAUAGCGAACGAGUACCGUGAGGGAAAGGUGAAAAGUACCCCGGGAGGGGAGUGAAACAGUCUCUGAAACCAUGCGCCUACGAACCGUCGGGGCCCUCUUGUGGGGUGACGGCGUGCCUAUCGAAAAAUGAGUCUGCGAGUCAGUGGCAUGUGGCGAGCAUAACCCGUGUGGGGUAUGCGUAGCGAAGGCGAGUCUUAAAAGGCGUUUGAGUCGCGUGUCCUGGACCCGAAGCGGGAUGAUCUAGCCCUGAGCAGGUUGAAGCGCGGGUAAGACCGUGUGGAGGACCGAACCCACCUGGGUUGAAAACCGGGGGGAUGACUUGGGGCUAGGGGUGAAAGGCCAAUCAAAUUCCGUGAUAGCUGGUUCUCUCCGAAAUGCAUUUAGGUGCAGCGUCGGAUCGAUUACAUCCGGGGGGUAGAGCGACUGGAUGCUUGCGGGCCCAUAUCGGGUACCAACAGCAACCAAACUCCGAAUACCCGUGAUGCGUAUCCCGGCAGUGAGUCGGCGGGGGAUAAGCUCCGUCGUCGAAAGGGAAACAGCCCAGAUCGUCGUCUAAGGUCCCCAAGCGUGUGCUAAGUGGGAAAGGAUGUGGAGUCGCAUAGACAGCCAGGAGGUUGGCUCAGAAGCAGCCACCCUUGAAAGAGUGCGUAACAGCUCACUGGUCUAGUGGUUCCGCGCCGACAAUGUAGCGGGGCUCAAGCACACCACCGAAGACGCGGCAGUAGCUUUGCUACUGGGUAGGAGAGCGUCCCAUGCGGGGCGAAGCGGCGGCGCAAGCCCGCCGUGGACCGCAUGGGAGUGAGAAUGCAGACAUGAGUAGCGAAAGACGGGUGAAGAUCCCGUCCGCUGGACGACCAAGGGUUCCAGGGCCACGUUCAUCGUCCCUGGGUGAGUCGGGUCCUAAGGCGAGGCCGACAGGCGUAGUCGAAUGGACGAACGGGUCGAUAUUCCCGUACCGGCAUGCAACCGGCAAAACCGAAUCCGCGAGUACUAACUUCCGGGUCCGGGCUUACGUCUCCUUCGGGAGCCGGAUGCCCUGGCCUGUUGGGACCGUAACGGUAGUAGGUCAGCGCGGGAGUGACGCAGAAGGGUAGCCGGCCGCGGAGGUGGUCUUCCGUGGUCAAGCACGCAGCCCGUCCCACAGGCAAAUCCGUGGGGCGCGUGGGCGAGGUGCGAUGAUGGGCGCCGCAGGGCGCGAUAUCCGGUGAUCCCGGCUGCCGAGAAAAGCUUCGGCGUGAGGCGGCAUGCCGCCCGUACCCCAAACCGACACUGGUGGUCAGGUAGAGAAUACCAAAGCGAUCGAGCGAAUCCUGGUCAAGGAACUCGGCAAAUCACUCCCGUUCCUUCGGUUUAAGGGAGACCCCCGAUGGUGAAGCGGCUUGCCCGCGGAGCUUUUGGGGGUGGCACAGACCAGGGGGUAGCGACUGUUUACCAAAAACACAGGAGCGUGCGAAGGCGCAAGCCGCUGUAUACGCUCUGACGCCUGCCCGGUGCCGGAAGGUUAAGAGGAUCCGUCAGGCCUCGGCCGAAGCGGUGAAUUCAAGCCCCGGUAAACGGCGGUGGUAACUAUAACCAUCCUAAGGUAGCGAAAUUCCUUGUCGGGUAAGUUCCGACCUGCACGAAUGGCGUAACGACUUCCCCACUGUCUCGACCAGGAGCUCGGCGAAAUUGCAGUACGAGUAAAGAUGCUCGUUAAGCGCAGAAGGACGAAAAGACCCCGGGACCUUUACUAUACCUUGGUAUUGGCAUUCGGUGUGGAUUGUGUAGCAUAGGCGGAAGGCUUCGAAGCCACGGCGCCAGCCGCGGUGGAGCCGCAAGGUGAAAUACCGCUCUGUUCGCAUUGGAUGUCUAACCUCGACCAGUCAUCCUGGUCAGGGACAGUGCCUGGCGGGUAGUUUAACUGGGGCGGUUGCCUCCCAAAGAGUAACGGAGGCGCUCAAAGGUUCCCUCAGCCCGGUUGGUAAUCGGGUGGCGAGUGUAAGUGCACAAGGGAGCUUGACUGCGAGACUGACGGGUCGAGCAGGGACGAAAGUCGGAACUAGUGAUCCGGUGCCGGUGUACGGACGCGGCAUCGCUCAACGGAUAAAAGGUACCCCGGGGAUAACAGGCUGAUCAUUCCCAAGAGUCCAUAUCGACGGGAUGGUUUGGCACCUCGAUGUCGGCUCGUCGCAUCCUGGGGCUGGAGCAGGUCCCAAGGGUUCGGCUGUUCGCCGAUUAAAGCGGCACGCGAGCUGGGUUCAGAACGUCGUGAGACAGUUUGGUCUCUAUCCUCUGCGCUCGUCGGAAUGUUGAGGAGGCCUGCCCAUAGUACGAGAGGACCUGGGUGGACGAACCUCUGGUAUGCCGGUUGUCACGCCAGUGGCACGGCCGGUUGGCUACGUUCGGAAGGGAUAACCGCUGAAAGCAUCUAAGCGGGAAGCCUGCUCCAAGAUAAGCAUUCCAUAGGACUACGGGUCCUUGAAGUCCCCAUGCAGAACACGUGGUUGAUAGGCCGGACGUGGAAGCCCCGCGAGGGGUGGAGCCGACCGGUACUAACGGACGAAAGGCAACAC
RNAcentral lists this ribosomal RNA (3061 nucleotides) under Bifidobacterium breve. RNAcentral's name for it is "bacterial LSU rRNA". It matches the Rfam family "Bacterial large subunit ribosomal RNA". Lineage: Bacteria; Bacillati; Actinomycetota; Actinomycetes; Bifidobacteriales; Bifidobacteriaceae. The record is from RNAcentral.